Molecule: ribosomal RNA, 465 nt
Filed under: Vreelandella stevensii
Lineage: Bacteria; Pseudomonadati; Pseudomonadota; Gammaproteobacteria; Oceanospirillales; Halomonadaceae
Description: partial 16S ribosomal RNA
Rfam family: Bacterial small subunit ribosomal RNA
Source: RNAcentral
CCUACGGGAGGCUGCAGUGGGGAAUAUUGGACAAUGGGGGCAACCCUGAUCCAGCCAUGCCGCGUGUGUGAAGAAGGCCCUCGGGUUGUAAAGCACUUUCAGUGAGGAAGAACGCCUGGUGGUUAAUACCCAUCAGGAAAGACAUCACUCACAGAAGAAGCACCGGCUAACUCCGUGCCAGCAGCCGCGGUAAUACGGAGGGUGCGAGCGUUAAUCGGAAUUACUGGGCGUAAAGCGCGCGUAGGUGGCUUGAUAAGCCGGUUGUGAAAGCCCCGGGCUCAACCUGGGAACGGCAUCCGGAACCGUCAAGCUAGAGUGCAGGAGAGGAAGGUAGAAUUCCCGGUGUAGCGGUGAAAUGCGUAGAGAUCGGGAGGAAUACCAGUGGCGAAGGCGGCCUUCUGGACUGACACUGACACUGAGGUGCGAAAGCGUGGGUAGCAAACAGGAUUAGAUACCCCGGUAGUC